UCGAAGGUGGGAUCGGCGAUUGGGACGAAGUCGUAACAAGGUAGCCGUACCGGAAGGUGCGGCUGGAUCACCUCCUUUCUAAGGAGCA
This 88-nucleotide ribosomal RNA is filed under the name Mycolicibacterium frederiksbergense. RNAcentral's name for it is "partial 16S ribosomal RNA". The stretch from base 1 to 78 matches the Rfam family "Bacterial small subunit ribosomal RNA", at positions 1456 to 1533 of the family's 1533-position model. The record is from RNAcentral. Lineage: Bacteria; Bacillati; Actinomycetota; Actinomycetes; Mycobacteriales; Mycobacteriaceae.